GACGAACGCUGGCGGCGUGCUUAACACAUGCAAGUCGAACGAAGUGGCGAACGGGUGAGUAACGCGUAAUCAACCUGCCCAUCAGGGGGGGACAACAGUUGGAAACGACUGCUAAUACCGCAUAAGGAAUGAGGGGAUUGCGGUGGAUUAGCUAGUUGGGGGGGUAAAGGCCUACCAAGGCGAUGAUCAGUAGCCGGUCUGGGAGGGUGAACGGCCACAUUGGGAAUGGGACACGGCCCAGACUCCUACGGUGGGCAGCAAGGGGGAAACUUCCGCAAUGGACGGAAGGCUGACGGAGCAACACCGCGUGAGUGAUGACGGCCUUCGGGUUGUAAAGCUCUGUUAAUCGGGACGCGGUACCGGAAUAGAAAGCCACGGCUAACUACGUGCCAGCAGCCGCGGUAAUUC
RNAcentral lists this ribosomal RNA (408 nucleotides) under uncultured bacterium. Its description in RNAcentral is "partial 16S ribosomal RNA". It matches the Rfam family "Bacterial small subunit ribosomal RNA", at positions 28 to 526 of the family's 1533-position model. The record is from RNAcentral.